RNAcentral lists this ribosomal RNA (497 nucleotides) under uncultured bacterium. RNAcentral's name for it is "partial 16S ribosomal RNA". It matches the Rfam family "Bacterial small subunit ribosomal RNA", at positions 28 to 507 of the family's 1533-position model. The record is from RNAcentral.
GAUGAACGCUGGCGGCGUGCCUAAUACAUGCAAGUCGAGCGAACAGACGAGGAGCUUGCUCCUCUGAUGUUAGCGGCGGACGGGUGAGUAACACGUGGAUAACCUACCUAUAAGACUGGGAUAACUUCGGGAAACCGGAGCUAAUACCGGAUAACAUGUUGAACCGCAUGGUUCAACAGUGAAAGACGGUCUUGCUGUCACUUAUAGAUGGAUCCGCGCCGCAUUAGCUAGUUGGUAAGGUAACGGCUUACCAAGGCAACGAUGCGUAGCCGACCUGAGAGGGUGAUCGGGCAAAAUGGGACUUGGACACGGUCCCAACUUCCAAGGGAGGCCGGCGGAGGGAAUCUUCCGGAAUGGGGGGAAACCUGAAGGAGCAAAGCCGCGUGAGUUAAGAAGGUUUUCGGGUCGGAAAACCCUGUUAAUAGGGAAAAAACAAUGGGGAAAGUAACAAGCACGUCUUGAAGGUAACCAAACCAGAAACCAACGCCAACUACGUG